Glycine soja is the source of this 1136-nucleotide long non-coding RNA. RefSeq lists it as uncharacterized. Lineage: Eukaryota; Viridiplantae; Streptophyta; Magnoliopsida; Fabales; Fabaceae. The transcript has 2 exons. The record is from RefSeq and is a predicted model, not a curated record.
AAAUACAAAAAUGUCUGCAGAUCCACAAAACAAAGGGGAUGAGAGGAGAGAGAAGAGGUAGAUGUACAAGGCAGAACAACAGAACGAAGAUAAGACAAUAGAGAAGAGACAGAUGCAGUGAUACAUGAGGCAGAACCACAGGCACACAAGAACUAGCAUAAAGGUUAAGAAAGAGGCAUUGCUGGCCAAUGAUGAGUUGCAGCAGUUUCAGAAUCAUUCAUCACAAAUGGCAGCUUUAGAUUUUAUGGUUUCUGUAGCCAGUAAUACCUUUGUUCCUACCUAUGAUGGUAACAUGGCAAAAAUUGUGAAAGGCCAUCGCUGGUGUGCAUGCACCCUCUUGCUAGUUGCAAUUUAAUUUUAACCACAACAAAAUAAGCUAACUAGUCCUCAUGCAGGUAUUCUGGUUUUAAAAAAUUCAUCAUAUUGGAUCGGAAAAAGCUCAUAGAAUUACUUGACAUGCAUCAAAAUGGAACCCUUCCAUGGAAUGAGUUUGCAAAUGCUGUGAGACAGGUUCAUGAAAAAAAAAAUGGGACAGCCAACUCAUCGUAGAGUUGAUGCAGACAAGCCAAAGGAAGAGGAUUAUUUCUAUGCCAACCCUUAUGAAUGCUUCUGUGAGGGAACAAAGUGUGAUGACUUGCUAGGUCCGCUUAACUCUAGUCAAAUACAAUGAGUACAAGCUGUCACAUGUAAAAAUGGACUCUUCUGCUCCACCACAAGUUUAAAAGAGGAAUAUAUAUUGCUCCUUCCCACUUAAUUGCUCAAGUGUUGUACACAUGAUGACCUUCAUAAAUAUGUACACGUGAAUUUGUAGAGAACCAUCGAAAAGAAAGUAAAAUAGAACGAAAAAGAAAAACAAAAAAAGAAGAAGAAAGAAAUAUCAGCUUCUACUGGGGCAUGCAAAGAUGUAUCUUCAAUUUCAUCCUUAAUUUAUUUAUUUAAUUUUCCAAGUUUGGGUUAUGUAUAAUUAUAUAACAAUAGUUCAUGUCACAGCCAUAAAUUCAUAUCAGGCAUUCAAAAGUUCACUACUUCUUCCUCUUUACAGACUAAUAGGUUGUAAUAAAAUGGGGUGAGUCAGAAACUUGAUUAUGAUCCUCUUCAAAGAUCAAUUGAAUACAUGGCAUGGAUUUGUCUUGGAA